This 370-nucleotide ribosomal RNA is filed under the name uncultured organism. Its description in RNAcentral is "bacterial SSU rRNA". It matches the Rfam family "Bacterial small subunit ribosomal RNA", at positions 526 to 896 of the family's 1533-position model. The record is from RNAcentral.
CGUAGGGUGCGAGCGUUAAUCGGAAUUACUGGGCGUAAAGCGUGCGCAGGCGGUUAUGUAAGACAGGUGUGAAAUCCCCGGGCUUAACCUGGGAACUGCAUUUGUGACUGCAUAGCUAGAGUACGGUAGAGGGGGAUGGAAUUCCGCGUGUAGCAGUGAAAUGCGUAGAUAUGCGGAGGAACACCGAUGGCGAAGGCAAUCCCCUGGACCUGUACUGACGCUCAUGCACGAAAGCGUGGGGAGCAAACAGGAUUAGAUACCCUGGUAGUCCACGCCCUAAACGAUGUCAACUGGUUGUUGGUCCCUCACUGGAUCAGUAACGAAGCUAACGCGUGAAGUUGACCGCCUGGGGAGUACGGCCGCAAGGUUG